GGGGGCAUAGCUCAGCUGGUUAGAGCGCCUGCCUUACAAGCAGGAUGUCCGCGGUUCGAAUCCGUGUGCCCCCACCA
RNAcentral lists this transfer RNA (77 nucleotides) under bacterium. RNAcentral's name for it is "tRNA-Val". It matches the Rfam family "tRNA". Rfam says of the family: Transfer RNA (tRNA) molecules are approximately 80 nucleotides in length. Their secondary structure includes four short double-helical elements and three loops (D, anti-codon, and T loops). RNAcentral also lists the same sequence under 1 other name. The record is from RNAcentral.